Molecule: ribosomal RNA, 118 nt
Filed under: Zanclus cornutus (moorish idol)
Lineage: Eukaryota; Metazoa; Chordata; Actinopteri; Acanthuriformes; Zanclidae
Description: partial 16S rRNA
Source: RNAcentral
CGUCCAACAGCUAGCCCCCCUCCCAAAAAGCAACAAAACCCUAUCAAUACCCCCAAAUACACCAACACCUCCUAAAACAAACCAUUUUUCCCCCUUAGUAUGGGCGACAGAAAAGGCA